GCACUCUUAGUGUAGUGGUAACAUGCUCCCUCAUACAUUGGGAGCGUCUGGGGUUGAUUCCCCGUGGGUGCC
Non-coding RNA from Mycena maculata, 72 nucleotides. Lineage: Eukaryota; Fungi; Basidiomycota; Agaricomycetes; Agaricales; Mycenaceae. The record is from the annotation of a GenBank genome assembly.